This is an RNA transcript of Helianthus annuus (common sunflower), 1282 nucleotides long. RefSeq lists it as uncharacterized. The record is from RefSeq and is a predicted model, not a curated record. Lineage: Eukaryota; Viridiplantae; Streptophyta; Magnoliopsida; Asterales; Asteraceae. The transcript is spliced from 9 exons.
UUAACUAUAAUAUAAUAUCGACAGAAAAAUAAAAUAGAGAAAACUGAAAUUCGGAUAGUCCAUUUACUCUUAACCAGACAGCCCGAUAGCCCAUUUACCAACAUUCAUAUUUAUUUCCAGAUUGGCAAAACCCUAAAAUUCGUAAUUCGGUCAGUUUCAAGUUUUCUCAAGCAAUGAGUCCUUGGCAGAUUGAUAAUGGUAUUGGCAAAACUAAAGGGAAACCAUGCAAGAAGACAUACCUUGAUGUUUUGAAAUUAAUUUGUUUGUGAGUUAAUAGCCAAAGUGGUCCCUGAGGCAAGAAGGGCAGCAGGGGCAGAGGAUCACCACCUGGCCUGGCUGCAGGUGGUAUGCGUCUUUCGCGUACCAGAUUGUUCAUUACAAACAAGCGCAAGGCCAGAAAAUCACCACCUGGUCAGUCGGAAUGUAAUAAGGAGAAAGAACCAUCCAACGAUGGCGACAGUAGUGGUGUGAGUCAUGAAUAUAUCGUUAAUAUGUGGAGGUCAUCGGUCUUUCAUAAUCAUGAUCGGUGUAGGUGUACCCUAUCACGGGAACAAAAGCUCGCCCCCUACUAUAAUCGAAUCCUGGAGCGAAUGGCGCGUGAUGAAGCUAAAAUUGUAGAUGUUUCGACGGCCGAGGAUCGGGCAGCGACCAGGGCUCUAAUUAACCGAUGGUUUAAUUACGUUCCAUCUGAUAAUUCUGAGACGGAGGAGGAUUCAACUGACUCGGAUUAAUUAUGAUCGGAGGAGGCAUCAAUGUAUGUAGGGGGACACAUUUACCAAUUACCAUUAGCUUUGUUCUUGACGGAGACGAGGGAUUCUUGUUGAUUUGUGGAUGCCAGUUUACAGCCCCCCAAAGGGUUUGCAGAUAGUGAGAUUAAACGUUUAACGGAUAGUCAUAUGGAACGCGGUACGCUCCGGUACGCGGCACGAAAACUGGUACGCAAUUCGGGCCUUUUUAAAAAUCGGUACGUUGGGGUAAGUUAAUUUGGGAACGCUAAUUAGGUACGUGGUACGGUGUAUGAAAUCGUUCUCUUCAAAUUCAUCGUGGUUUCUAUCUCUGUUGCUUCUGAUCUUGUGUUUUCUAUGAAAUCGUUCUCUUCGAAUUCAUUAUCGCUUGCAUAAUUUUGUUGCCGCAUUCCAGAAUUUUGAGUAUCCUGUCUUGAGGUCGACCCACUCUUACCGAAAGCCAUUUGCUAAUUGCUUACUGUUUUGUUUUUAACUGAGUGAAUUGAAUUGAAAUAUUGUGAACUAGAUUGAUUGUUAUACCAUGUAUUUAUAGUUAA